Long non-coding RNA from Cyprinus carpio carpio, 4711 nucleotides. The record is from Ensembl. Lineage: Eukaryota; Metazoa; Chordata; Actinopteri; Cypriniformes; Cyprinidae.
UUUAUUUAAAAUAGAAAUCUUUUCUAACAAUAUACACUACCGUUCAAAAGUUUGGGGACAGUACAUUUUUAUUCUAUCUUUUUUUAUUCAGCAAGGAUGUGUUAAAUUGAUAAGAAGUGAUAGCAAAUAUUUAAAUUGUUAGGAAAUAUUUAUAUUUUGAAUAAAUGUUGUUCUUUUGAACUUUUUAUUCAUCAAAGAAUCCUGAAAAAAGUAUUGCAGUUUCCAAAAAAAUAAAUAAAUAAAUAAAUAAAUUUGGCAGCACAACUGUUGCAAACAUUGAUAAUCCUAAUAAUAAAUCAGCAUAUUAGAAUGAUUUCUGAAGGACCAUGUGACACUUUAUACUGGAGUAAUGGCUGAUGGAAACUCAGCUUUGCAUCACAGAAAUAAAUUCUAUUUUAAAGGAUAUUAAAAUAGAAAAAAAAAAUUUAUAUUGUAAUAACAUUUUGCAAGAUUACUGUUUUUUAUCAAAUAAAUGCAGCCUUCAUGAGCAUAAGAGACUUCUUUAAAAAACAUUACAAGUCUUAUUGAUCGCAAAACUUUUGAAUGGCAGUGUAUUUGUAAAAGCUGCAUUAUUUGGAAAUGACUUUGUUACAGUUACAACUAAAAUUUUGGCCCGUUCCUCAGACAAACCUGUAGAUUGAAUACAAUUAAAAUUGCAUCAUAUUGGACAAACUACUCCUUUAAGACAUUUGCGUGUAAUCUGCAUGAAUAAAACUAACUACAAAUACAAGCAAGUGACUUUUUCUUUAGGACAUAUGUGCAAUAUGUUUGCGUAGGAAUUUAGUGUUGUCUUCAGAGGUGUUUUUAUUAGAGCAAAAUACUAGUUUUUUUCCAAGGGAAAACAAGUGGGCUGGCUGCUAAAAGAGAAAGUGCAAAGAAAGAAAGCAAAAGUAAGCAGCGUGUAUAUAUUCAGAAAGCAGAUGCAAGGCAGUGAGCAUUAAAAGCCAAGUGUGGAACUGCUGACAAGACAUGGACACUGUAUCCAGCAAUUUCACUGCUCUGGUGGAGAAGGUCUACUCAUUCUUCUGGGGGGACAAGCAGCAGUUCAACAGCCAAUCAGAAUCAGACAGAGCCAUCAGAGAGCUGUAAUGAAAGUGACAUCCCAGUCACAAAACCUGCUGAAACAUGGGUGUCUGAGGUCCAGGAGGUUAGCAGUCCUGUACAAACCACUGUAAAUGCACAUUCAGGUCAUUAUGAUCAUCCACACAUCCCGCUUCAGUACUCAAACUCAUUCAGUGAUGCUGAUGAAACUGCUGAAGUGGACAAGAUCAACAUCAUUGUGAAAUGUGCUGGGAAAACCACGGAAGUGGACAUGUUUCCCAGGGAAAGCAUCUCAGUUUUACUAAAGGAGGCCUGUGACCGGGCAGGGAAGAAACCAGAGAAAAUGGCACUGGUUUAUGAAGGAAACUGUCUGGAUGUGAACAAGACAGUGAGCUGCUAUGGACUACGAGGAGGAACCACCGUAAAUUUGAUUCAUGCCUAGAAUCAUGUUUCUGUUUACAGUAUACCAGUACAGUACUGUACAUAAAAUAUUGUUCAAACUCAAAUAUAUUAUUAGUAGUAGUAGUUGUAGAAGUAAUAGUAGUAGUAGUAGUAGCAGUCAGUGCUCAUGGGUUAUUGUUAAAAGUAUUGCAUUGCUGUGUACAGUCUCAAAUACAUUGUAAUAUAUAAAAAAUAAAACUGACUUGCAACACUGACUCACAUAUAUGAGUUCAAUCAGACAGCAUUUUUUACUGAUAUUGGGACACUUUAUGGCUGAUAACAUAUUGAUUAUUAUACAGACAGCAAUAACCUCAACUGAUUGCCUAUGUAAACUAUGCAUAAUUAAUAUAGUGAUUACUGAAUUUGAUCCUACUGUUUUAAAUAUAUUAAAGCACUUUAAGUGUUUUUACAAUGUUUGACUCACUGUUUAAUGAUUGAAAUAUUGCCGCGGGUGCUUAAUAUGGAUUGCAAAUGGCCAAAACUUGCAUUUUGUUUUAUUAUGUUUUAUUGAGAGAUGAUGUAAAUAUUUGCGGCUGUAAAACAGAUGAAAAACUGAGAGGCUUGUGCUGCAGUUCUAUGGAUGCUUCGAGCCGGUCACGUGACUGAAAGCGAUCAAUAGCGUUCGAGUGCUGUUUGUAACGGAGCAUUUCAUUGGUUAAACAGACGGAACAGACACGCCUCUUUCACUGAACUAGCCGUCUAACUAGAGGGCAUGUUGUUCUUUUAGGUCACCGUGUUAACAGCAUUUAUUUAAAAUAGAAAUCUUUUCUAACAAUAUACACUACCGUUCAAAAGUUUGGGGUCGGUACAUUUUUAUUCUAUCUUUUUUUAUUCAGCAAGGAUGUGUUAAAUUGAUAAGAAGUGAUAGCAAAUAUUUAAAUUGUUAGGAAAUAUUUAUAUUUUGAAUAAAUGUUGUUCUUUUUGAACUUUUUAUUCAUCAAAGAAUCCUGAAAAAAGUAUUGCAGUUUCCAAAAAAAAUAAAAUAAAUAAAUAAAUAAAUUUGGCAGCACAACUGUUGCCAACAUUGAUAAUCCUAAUAAUAAAUCAGCAUAUUAGAAUGAUUUCUGAAGGACCAUGUGACACUUUAUACUGGAGUAAUGGCUGAUGGAAAUUCAGCUUUGCAUCACAGAAAUAAAUAAAUUCUAUUUUAAAGGUUAUUAAAAUAGAAAAAAAAAUAUUUUAUAUUGUAAUAACAUUUUGCAAGAUUACAGUUUUUUAAUCAAAUAAAUGCAGCCUUCAUGAGCAUAAGAGACUUCUUUAAAAAACAUUACAAGUCUUAUUGAUCGCAAAACUUUUGAAUGGCAGGGUAUUUGUAAAAGCUGCAUUAUUUGGAAAUGACUUUGUUACAGUUACAACUAAAAUUGUGGCCCGUUCCUCAGACAAACCUGUAGAUUGAAUACAAUUAAAAUUUAAAAUUGCAUCAUACUGGACAAACUACUUGUACCUUUAAAAUACUAUUUGUUUUCAAAGGGAAAGCCCGUAUGUUGGCUGGCUGCUAAAAGAGAAAGUGCAAAGAAAGAAAGCAAAAGUAAGCAGUGGUAUAUAUAUUAAGCAAAAGCAGUGAGCAUUAAAAGCCAAGUGUGGAACUGCCGACAAGACAUGGACAUUGUAUCCAGCUAUUUCACAGUUCUGGUAAGUUACUCCAAUUGAAUCUUGAAAAUUUGCUGUAUUCGUUGUACUGGAUUUAACGAUGGUAAAAUGUGUAAAACAGUGCUGAGAGUAUAUAGUGGUAGCUAAAAGCAUUAUCAGAUUAGAUAAAAAUGUUAACAUUUGACCUUUUUAUUUUAAGAUUUAUUUUGGGCCUUUAAUUUAAUAGGAUAGUGUAGAGAGCACAUGAAGCGAAGUGGCGCCGACAACAUUUGACCUUUUACUUACAAAAUAAAACAAACUUAAAGAGAUACUGAAGGAACAAAAGUCAUAACACUUUAGAUUAGGGAUCACAUAUAAACUAUUAGCCUAACUAAGAGUUUCCCUCGAUAAACUCCUAACAACUGCUUAUUGAUAUUAAUAAGGUAGUUGUUGAAUACAGUCAUCCAGAAUAAGGCAUUAAUAUGUGCUUUAUAAGUACUAAUAAACAGCCCAAAUUCUAGUAAUAUGCAUGCUUCUAAGCAACUAGUUAAUAGUGAAUAGUAUUGAAAAUAACUUAAACAUCUUCAAACUUAUAGCAAUUACAGUAUAAUAAGGAAAAAUAAACACGGGUUGCAUGCACAAGUUGCAGGAAUGUGUAGAAUUUGUACAACCGAUGUAUACAUGCAGAUUGACAACUAAAAGUUUUUAUUUAUCGUCUUCUCAAUAACAUUUUGAUAUUUACUCUGAAUACAAUGGCAACAAUGAAAACAACUAACUAGGUUAGCUGAUUGCCUUAAAAGUCCAUAGAUAUUGCCAUAAGUGCAUACUGCUGUUAAUAAGAUGUGAUGAACCUGUUUUAUACUAGAUUAGAACCCUUUUCAUUCAUAUGAAUAUUACUUUGUCUGGUAAUGUGCUUUAAAGGUGGAGAAGAUCUACUCAUUCUUCUGGGGGACAAGCAGCAGUUCAACAGCCAAUCAGAAUCAGACAGAGCCAUCAGAGAGCUGUAAUGAAAGUAAGAUAAACAUCCAGCUUAUCCAGUUCAUCCACUUGUAACUCAUUAUAUUUAGUGGUUGUUUUGUACAUAUGUAACUGGGCGACAGAGACAUGAGACAUGCGGAUCCAUCUGCAUGCUUCUAUUUAAAGGCGUGCUCAUGAAACAGACACGAGUCGAUACACAGCAAACAGUAAUAGAAGAGGCAAGGUGAAGAGUAAUCAAAAGUGGGUCUGAGAUCAGGCGAACAAAGUCCAGAGGGCUAGGCAAAAGAAUGCAAGACAGGCAAUCAGGCACAAAACUAGACGUGCCUUGACUAGAGCUAGGAACUAGACAAUAAUAAACACCUUUUGAUCUUUUGAUUUUGAAUAGUAGUGUAUGAAAUCGUUCUAUAAUUUAUUGCAGUCUGAAACUUUAAUAUAAUAUUGAAGUUAGUCAGCAUGGAAUUGUGAUUGACUCUUUACUUUCUUAGUACUCAUCGUCUUACUGUGCACGAAUCAUCAGGGUAUUUUAAUACAUAAAACAACUUGCUCUUUUCAGGUGACAUCCCAGUCACAAAACCUGCUGAAACAUGGGUGUCUGAGGUCCAGGAGGUUAGCAGUCCUGUACAAACCACUGUAAAUGCACAUUCAGGUCAUUAUGGUAUGAAACAUCUACUUUAUAACUCUA